AAUUCGCCCUUGGGGAUGCCGCGGGCCGCUGCAGAGUUUGAUCCUGGCUCAGGAUGAACGCUGGCGGUAUGCUUAACACAUGCAAGUCGAACGAUGUGGGGACGUAGCAAUGCUACGUCUGUGCAUAGUGGCGGACGGGUGAGUAACGCGUGAGAAUCUAGCUUCAGGUUCGGGACAACAUUGGGAAACCGAUGCUAAUACCGGAUGUGCCGAGAGGUGAAAGGCUAGCCCGCCUGAAGAAGAGCUCGCGUCUGAUUAGCUAGUUGGUGGUGUAAGGGACUACCAAGGCGACGAUCAGUAGCUGGUCUGAGAGGAUGAUCAGCCACACUGGAACUGAGACACGGUCCAGACUCCUACGGGAGGCAGCAGUGGGGAAUUUUCCGCAAUGGGCGAAAGCUGUACGGAGCAAUACCGCGUGAGGGAGGAAGGCUCUUGGGUUGUAAACCUCUUUUCUCAAGGAAGAAGUUCUGACGGUACUUGAGGAAUCAGCAUCGGCUAACUCCGUGCCAGCAGCCGCGGUAAUACGGAGGAUGCAAGCGUUAUCCGGAAUGAUUGGGCGUAAAGGGUCCCAAGCUGGUUGUGUGUGUUUAUUUUUAAAGGAA
This 602-nucleotide ribosomal RNA is filed under the name uncultured bacterium. Its description in RNAcentral is "bacterial SSU rRNA". It matches the Rfam family "Bacterial small subunit ribosomal RNA", at positions 1 to 603 of the family's 1533-position model. The record is from RNAcentral.